Molecule: ribosomal RNA, 253 nt
Filed under: uncultured bacterium
Lineage: Bacteria
Description: partial 16S ribosomal RNA
Rfam family: Bacterial small subunit ribosomal RNA
Source: RNAcentral
GACAGAGGGUGCAAACGUUGUUCGGAAUUACUGGGCGUAAAGCGCGUGUAGGCGGCUAUGUAAGUCGGGCGUGAAAUCCCACGGCUCAACCGUGGAAGUGCACCCGAAACUGCGUAGCUAGAGUCCUGGAGAGGAAGGUGGAAUGCUUGGUGUAGAGGUGAAAUUCGUAGAUAUCAAGCGGAACACCGGUGGCGAAGGCGGCCUUCUGGACAGUGACUGACGCUGAGACGCGAAAACGUGGGUAGCAAACAGG